This 509-nucleotide ribosomal RNA is filed under the name Parhippolyte sterreri. RNAcentral describes it as "partial 16S ribosomal RNA". It matches the Rfam family "Bacterial large subunit ribosomal RNA", at positions 1832 to 2595 of the family's 2925-position model. The record is from RNAcentral. Lineage: Eukaryota; Metazoa; Arthropoda; Malacostraca; Decapoda; Barbouriidae.
UCUGGGUGAAGGUAUACUCAGUCUGGCCUGCCCGCUGACGUUGUUGAAGAGCCGCGGUAUCUAUGACCGUGCGAAGGUAGCAUAAUCAGUUGUCUUUUAAUUGAAGGCUGGUAUGAAUGGUUGAACGAGAAGUUAGCUGUCUCUUCAAUGUAAAUUGAACUUUACCUUUAAGUGAAAAGGCUUAAAUUUUACGGGGGGACGACAAGACCCUAUAAAGCUUUACAGCUACUUGGCACGGCCUCGAAAUGUGGUAUAAAGGGGGCGUGUGCUUGGGCUGUUGCGUUGGGGCGACGAGAAUAUAACUUAGUAACUGUUCUUAGAAUAAAACGGCUGUGGCCGGUUGAUAUGACCCCUUAUUAGGGAUCACAAGAUUAAGUUACUUUAGGGAUAACAGCGUUAUUUCCUUCGAGAGCUCAUAUCGACAAGGUAAGUUGCGACCUCGAUGUUGAAUUAAGGUUUCAUCCUGGUUGUAGGAGCUGGGAUUGUGGGUCUGUUCGACCUUUAAAACC